Molecule: non-coding RNA, 444 nt
Organism: Rana temporaria (common frog)
Lineage: Eukaryota; Metazoa; Chordata; Amphibia; Anura; Ranidae
Source: the annotation of a RefSeq genome assembly
GUUGAUAUGUACAGACAUCACCCAAAUGCACACAUACAAAUUAUACACAAUAAUGAAGACUUUACUGAGCCUCUGUAUUGCAGUGAUAUGGUUAUCAGGUGUCCGGUCUGCAGAACAACUUACCCAAUCAGAGCCAGCGGUGAUAAAGCCGGGGAACUCUCACACACUGACCUGUAAAGGUUCUGGAUUUGCUUUCAGUGGCUACUGGAUGAGCUGGGUCAGAGAGAUCAGAGGAAAAUUACAAUGGCUGUGUGCUGUGUAUGAUUCGGGUAACAUACAAUAUAAUAAUGAGGUUAAAGGAAGAUUCACAAUCUCCAAAGAUAACAGUAAUAACAUGUUGUAUCUGAAAAUGGACAACAUGAAAACUGAAGACUCUGCUGUCUAUUACUGUGCAAGAUACACAGCGAUAAAAACAGCUCUUAGAUAGAACAAAAACUCAUCUUU